GACGAACGCUGGCGGCGUGCUUAACACAUGCAAGUCGAACGGUAAGGCCCUGUCGGGGGUACACGAGUGGCGCACGGGGGAGUAACACGCGAGUAACCUGCCCACAACUUUGGGAUAACGCUAGGAAACUGGGGCCAAUUCUGGCUAUGUGCUCCUGCUGCAUGGUGGGGGUUGGAAAGCUCCGGCGGUUGUGGAUGGACUCGCGGCCUAUCAGCUUGUUGGUGGGGUAGUGGCCUACCAAGGCGGCGACGGGUAGCCGGCCUGGGAGGGUGACCGGCCACCUUGGGGCUGAGGUACGGCCCAGACUCCUACGGGAGGCCGCAGGGGGGAAUCUUGCACCAUGGGCGCAAGCCUGGUGCAGCAACGCCGCGGGCGGGAUGACGGCCUUCGGGUUGUAAACCGCUUUCAGCAGGGACGAAGCUUUUUGUGACGGUACCUGCAGAAGAAGCACCGGCUAACUACGUG
This 465-nucleotide ribosomal RNA is filed under the name uncultured bacterium. RNAcentral's name for it is "partial 16S ribosomal RNA". It matches the Rfam family "Bacterial small subunit ribosomal RNA", at positions 28 to 507 of the family's 1533-position model. The record is from RNAcentral.